AUACCAUACCAUUUGCAUUGUUCAUAACAGCCAAAACGUGAAGACAACCUAAAUGUCCAUCAACGGAUGAAUAGAUACCCAAAGUGUGACAGAGGAAUACAACAGAAAAUUAUGAAGCAGUUAAAAAAAGGAAUGAAGUAAUGGUGCAUGCUACAAUGUGGAUGAAUCUCAAAAACAUUUGUUAAGUGAAUGAAGCCAUUACAGAAGACCACAUAUUGCACAUAUUGCAUGGGCCCAUUUCAAUGAAGUAUCUGGAAUAAACAAAUCAUUAUGGAUAGCAGGUAGAUUGGCGUUUGCCUAGGGCUAGGGGAAUUAGGGGGAAAUGGGUAGUGACUAUUAAUGGGUAUGUGGGUGAUGAAAGUGUUCCAAAACUGAUUGUCACAGUGAUUGUGUAACUUUUUGAAUAUGCUAAAAACCAUUGGAUUAUACACUUAAAAUUGGCAAGUUAUAUAGUA
Molecule: long non-coding RNA, 455 nt
Organism: Mustela erminea (ermine)
Lineage: Eukaryota; Metazoa; Chordata; Mammalia; Carnivora; Mustelidae
Exons: 3
Source: RefSeq, a predicted model, not a curated record